RNAcentral lists this ribosomal RNA (346 nucleotides) under fungal sp. CRS5665T18-1. RNAcentral's name for it is "SSU rRNA". It matches the Rfam family "Eukaryotic small subunit ribosomal RNA", at positions 22 to 372 of the family's 1831-position model. The record is from RNAcentral. Lineage: Eukaryota; Fungi.
AGUCAUAUGCUUGUCUCAAAGAUUAAGCCAUGCAUGUCUAAGUAUAAGCAAUCUAUACAGUGAAACUGCGAAUGGCUCAUUAAAUCAGUUAUCGUUUAUUUGAUAGUACAUUACUACUUGGAUAACCGUGGUAAUUCUAGAGCUAAUACAUGCUAAAAAUCCCGGCCUCUGGUUGGGAUGUAUUUAUUAGAUAAAAAACCAAUGUCUUCGGACUCUUUGGUGAUUCAUAAUAACUUUUCGAAUCGCAUGGCCUUGUGCUGGCGAUGGUUCAUUCAAAUUUCUGCCCUAUCAACUUUCAAUGGUAGGAUAGAGGCCUACCAUGGUUUCAACGGGUAACGGGGAAUAA